GAUGAACGCUGGCGGCGUGCCUAAUACAUGCAAGUCGAGCGAACGGACGAGAAGCUUGCUUCUCUGAUGUUAGCGGCGGACGGGUGAGUAACACGUGGAUAACCUACCUAUAAGACUGGGAUAACUUCGGGAAACCGGAGCUAAUACCGGAUAAUAUUUUGAACCGCAUGGUUCAAAAGUGAAAGACGGUCUUGCUGUCACUUAUAGAUGGAUCCGCGCUGCAUUAGCUAGUUGGUAAGGUAACGGCUUACCAAGGCAACGAUGCAUAGCCGACCUGAGAGGGGGAUCGGCCACACUGGAACUGAGACGCGGUCCAGACUCCUAAGGGAGGCAGCAGUAGGGAAUCUUCCGCAAAGGGCGAAAGCCUGACGGAGCAACGCCGCGUGAGUGAUGAAGGUCUUCGGAUCGUAAAACUCUGUUAUUAGGGAAGAACAUAUGUGUAAGUAACUGUGCACAUCUUGACGGUACCUAAUCAGAAAGCCACGGCUAACUACGUG
This 497-nucleotide ribosomal RNA is filed under the name uncultured bacterium. Its description in RNAcentral is "partial 16S ribosomal RNA". It matches the Rfam family "Bacterial small subunit ribosomal RNA", at positions 28 to 507 of the family's 1533-position model. The record is from RNAcentral.